Molecule: ribosomal RNA, 484 nt
Filed under: uncultured bacterium
Lineage: Bacteria
Description: partial 16S ribosomal RNA
Rfam family: Bacterial small subunit ribosomal RNA
Source: RNAcentral
AUUGAACGCUGGCGGCAGGCCUAACACAUGCAAGUCGAGCGGAUGAAGGGAGCUUGCUCCUGGAUUCAGCGGCGGACGGGUGAGUAAUGCCUAGGAAUCUGCCUGGUAGUGGGGGAUAACGUCCGGAAACGGGCGCUAAUACCGCAUACGUCCUGAGGGAGAAAGUGGGGGAUCUUCGGACCUCACGCUAUCAGAUGAGCCUAGGUCGGAUUAGCUAGUUGGUGGGGUAAAGGCCUACCAAGGCGACGAUCCGUAACUGGUCUGAGAGGAUGAUCAGUCACACUGGAACUGAGACACGGUCCAGACUCCUACGGGAGGCAGCAGUGGGGAAUAUUGGACAGUGGGCGAAAGCCUGAUCCAGCCAUGCCGCGUGUGUGAAGACGGUCUUCGGAUCGUAAAGCACUUUAAGUUGGGAGGAAGGGCAGUAAGUUAAUACCUUGCUGUUUUGACGUUACCGACAGAAUAAGCACCGGCUAACUUCGUG